This is a non-coding RNA of Gossypium hirsutum (cotton), 133 nucleotides long. The record is from Rfam. NCBI's taxonomy places the organism in Eukaryota, Viridiplantae, Streptophyta, Magnoliopsida, Malvales, Malvaceae.
UAUUAAAAAUUUUAUCCAUUUGUAUUGUUAAAAACUAGCAUGACUGAUAGAAUAACUGGAUAAUGCAAUGUGUACCUUAUUCUGAUGUAUAAGAACCAAUUUUUAAUAGUAGGAUUGGAUUAAAUUUUUAAUA